GCAAAGCACGGAAAUUCAAUAGAAGUUCAGAUGAGCUUGAUGGGUUAUAAUGCUGAAUAAUUGUCUGACAUCAACUAUUCUUUGAUCAGUACCUAAUCCUGUGGUGCGUAGGGUUUUAAGUUUAGCUUUAGGGCUGCACAGUAGUAGAGCCACUACCUCACAGCGCCAGAUACCUUGGUUCAACCCUGACCUCGGCUGCCGUCUGUAUCCUCCCUGUGACCAUGCAGGUUUCCUGCAGAAGCUCUGGUUUCUUCCCACAUCCCAGAGACUUGCUGGUUUGUAGGUUAAUCGUGUUAUUCCUCUUUGUGCCUUGCAGUGCAUCGGAUGGCAAUCUUGCAGUUUCUUCAGCAUUCAUCCAUUUGUUUAUGAGGUCGAGUUUGUAGCUCGAAGCUCAACCCAGCACAGAUGGAAAGCGUACAAGGAGGCAGCUGGAUUCAAACUGGUGACCACUCGUCUUGAAGUCCGGUGAGGAUGCUGCAACACCACCACACCAGCUGGCAGUGUCCCAUUGUCAAAUAUGGCAAUUGAACACCACACCCAUCAAACUGACCAUAUACUUUACUAAACUGUAUUCUGUGUCUCCUUGGAAGGAGAGUACCUAGAUGUUGGAUAUGGACAGGUUGGAGCUGAAUUCAUUUAUCCCUGUGGCGACAUAAACUUCAGUCACAGAGACUCUAAACUCAUAUAAAAAAGGACAGGUAAGCAACUGGUAAGUGUCCAGUGACUGUGUAGACAAAUUCUGAAGGAGCAGGGUGAGAAACAUACAGGGAGGAGUGAGGGUUGCUGGUGAAAGCAGUCUUACUGGAAUGUAAAUCACAAAUAGAGAUGAGGCAAGAUUAAACUGUUAAAGACAUGAGUAAGGGGGAUUCCUAUUUCAAAUGGUGUCCUGGUAAAAGCACAGCUGAUCAAAAUAUUUGGAAGUCAAGGGAAUUGAAGUGAUCUGAGUGAAAGUUUAACCAAAUUAUUUAUAAAGCAAUAACCAAGUUAUUUAUAAAGCAAUUAACAGGUACUAACUUGGUGAAUGGGAAAGAUAUUUAGAAAGCAGAAGUACAACUAUUGAACAGUCAAGGUUCAAAAACAAAACAGAAAUCAUGCUUCUCUAACCUAACUGAAUUAUUUGAGGAACAGGAUUAAUGCAGUGGAUAUAAUUUACUGAAAUUUCCAAACAGCACUAAAUAAGGUAUCACAUGCAUAAGUUAAUAAAUAUGUAUAGCCGGAUUCUGUGCAGUUUAGGGAUGAGCAAAAAGACGUUAUCAAGCUGUGGAAUAGAAAAUAGAAAAGGGAGAGGAGUGAGGCCCCUCUACCCAGCAUUUUGUUAGCAAAUGUGCAGUCGCUGGAAAACAAAUUUGAGGAUGAAUUUGAGGACCUGAGGACAAGAUUGAUGUAUCAUAGAGAAAUGAGGGUUGCUGCUUUCUGUGUUUCAGCAAGACAUGGCUUACUCUGUGUACAUCAGACCUGAAGGCUUCUAGGUACACAAGUUGGACUGAACUUCUGAUUCAGAAAAGACAGAAGGUGGGUGUAUGUGUUUCAUGGUAGACUCCCGUGGUGCUUUGCGGGGGUGGGGGUGUGCCUUAUUCUGAUUGUUGUGAGUCACUUUCAUUGUGAUUGGUUAGUUUAGAAACUGCAGCUGCUUUUCCCAGUGGAUAGCUGGUUGGUGUCCCACUUCAAAUAUUCUGGACACAGAAGGGGCUUGCUCUCUUCUUCCUUUGUUUAAAACAUGGUCAUUGGGAAGACCUCUUGAAAUGAAUGCUAACAUGGAAUAUGCCUUCCUCACCAAACACUCUUACCUGCAAGUUAACCAUCAGGGUGUUCUGCACAAGGAAUCCCAAGUCUCUCUGCAUCUCAGAUUCCUGGAUUUUCUCCCCAUUUGGAAAAUAGUUCACACAUUUAUUUCUAUUACCGAAGUGCAUGACUAUGCAUUUUUCAACAUCGUAUUUCAUUUGCCACUUUCUUGCCCAUUCUGCUAAUCUGUCUAAGUCCUACCUGCAUCCUACCUGUUUCCUCAAUACUACCUGCCCCUCCAACAAUCUUUGUACCAUCUACAUACUAUCUUUUCCAUCAUCUAAAUCAUAUAUAUACAGCAUAAAAAGAAGUGGUCCCAACACCGACCCCUCCAGAACACCACUAGUCACUGGCAACCAACCAGAAAAGAAUCCUUUUAUUCCCACUCACUGCUUCCUACCAAUCAGCCAAUGCUCUAACCAAGUUAGUAACUUGCUUGUAAUACCAUGGGCUCUUAACUUGGUAAGCAGCCUCAUGUGUGGCACAUUGUCAAAGGCCUUCUGAAGGUCCAAGUAUACAACAUACCCUCCAGCCUCUUCAUCUAUCCUACUCGUAAUCUCCUCUUAGAAUUCCAACAGGUUUAUCAGGCAGGAUUUUCCUUGAAGGAAACCAUGCUGACUUUGUACUAUCUUGUCCUGUGUCACCAAGUACUCCAUCACCUCAUCCUUGACAAUUGACUCCAACAUCUUCCCAACCACUGAGGUCAGGCUAACUGGUCUGUAAUUUCCUUUCUGCUACCAUCUUCCUUUCUUAAAGAGUCGAGUGACAUUUGCAGUUUUCCAGUCCUCUGGCACCAUAGCAGAAUCCUAUGAUUAUGAAGAAAACAAGACAUCAUCUCUACUUCCUUAGAAGUUUGCAAAGAUUUGACAUGACUUCCAAAACUCUUACAAACUUCUACAGAUAUGUACUGGAGAGUAUAUUGACUGGCUGCAUCAUAACCUGGCAUGGAAACACCAAUGCCCUUGAAUGGAAAAUCCUUUAAAAAGUAAUGGAUACAGCCUAGUCCAUUACACAUAAAGCCUUUCCCACCAUUGAGCACAUCUACAUGAAACAUUGUUGCAGGAAAGCAGAAUCCAUCCUCAAGGACCCCCACCAUCUCUGCCAUGCUGUCUUCUUGCAUCUGCCAUCUGGAAGAAGGCAGCCACAGAACAAAGGAAACCAAAGGAACCCAUUUAAAAAAAGACUUUCAAACACCCAAUGUACUGAGUAAAAACAACAAAAGUAAGCAAAUGGCAUUGAGAACUGAAGUUUUGCAGAAAUGAAUCGACGGACACAAAGCCAGGCAUCACUGCAGCUGGAGCAGGCCAUGGUGCAGAGCUGAGAAAACGUCACAGAGCAGCGAGCAGACCUGACCCAUCCCUUGCCUUCGGCCCUGACACCCUGACCUUUUCAGUCUGGCCCGGCACUUAAAUUGUCCGAACAAUGGUUCAUUCCUCAAUCUCAGACCACUCCGCAGCCAGGACCUUUCUGCCAUGACUCAGCCUGUACCCAAUCUUUCCAAUUCAUCCCGGCACUUAAAUCAAUCAAACUUCGGGACUUUCCUCACCGUCAGGGCGCUACUUCCCCUGACUCUACCUCAAGCCUGCCUUGCCUCUGUAAUGUGAGGAUGUAAUUCUUCUAGUGCAAUGACUUCCCUUAGCACUAGUUACUGACUGAUAAUAAGCAUGCACAUUGAUUUGUUGCUCUCUCUGCAAAGUGAGUAUACACACUAACUUCCUCUCCAAGUGUCUGCAUCUUUUUAUUCGAAAGCUCGUUGUGCAGACACAACAAAUUGGGAAUGGGUACAAACCAGUAUGCCAGCAAAUAUUACCAACUGUACUGACAGUUACAAAAUGACAGAAUUUGGAGGAAGGGAGAAGGAUAGCGAGAGGGAAGGGUGAACCAAUACGGAGAAGGCAGUCACCGAUGUUAGAAAAGGACAUGUGAGUUACAGUGCAAGGUACACAGUGAGAGACACACCUAUAGCAAAGCUAAAGUAAAAUAAAAUGACAAUGGCCUUCAUUCAGAAAGUUGAUGAAUUUGAUAGUGCUAAUGAGGGCUGGAAAUCAUAUAUCAAGAGUGUUGAACUGUAUUGAAAUGCUAAUGAUGUAGAUGAAGUGAAGAAAGUCUCCAUAGUUCAUAGUUUAAGGGCUGCUAAAAUGUCCAGACUUUUACACAACUUAGUAUUCCUGAAAAGCCAGCAAGACAUUCAACAAAAUUGUUGUAAUUUUGCAAAAUCACUUGAACUCAAUACUGCUAGCAAUAGCUGAGAGAUUUAGAGUUCACAAAAGGAACCAGUCAAAGGAUGGAAGUAUUUCUGAUUACAUUGCAGAACUGUGCAAACUUUCCCAGUACUGCAACUUUGCAGAUGGACUUACUGAUCCAUUAAAGGACAGGCUUAUAUGUGGAAUGCAUCGUCAAAGCACUCAAAAGAGGCUACUGUCAGAAAGAGACAUAACCUUAGAACGGGCAUUGAUCAUUGCAAGAUCAUGAGAGACUGCAGCCAAUGAUGUGGCAUAACUACAGAAAAAGAGAUUAGAAUGUGAAAUAUACAAUAUGUCCCUAAAUGGUGCAAAAAGCCAAAAAUGUUAUCGAUAUGGCAAAUCUCCCCGUGAUGCCGAUGACUGUUGGUUCAAAGAGAAAGUUUGCAGAGACUGUCACGGGCAAGGUCACAGAGAGAGAGUGUGCAAGGCACAAAGAGACAAACCACAGCAAGCGAAAAGUUUCAAACACAAAACUAAACAAAAGCAUAAGUUGACUAAAUGGGAAACUGAAUCGGACUAGAUAGAGUCUGACAAAGGUGAGCUGUCAUGCCCAGAAUUAUAUAGCAUUACUGAAGCAGAUCACAAAAUCAUCCAGAUCAAAUGUGUAAAACUGAAAAUGGACCUAGAUACAGGGUUGAUUUGUCCAUAAUUUCAGAGGCUGACUACAACAGACAUUUUUCUAAGCUACCAUUAGAAAAGACCUUGCUGAUGCUAACAACAUACCUGGGGGGGGGGAGUGUCCCCCAAAGGCAAACUAUAAGUGAAUUUGAUGUACUGAGGCAAAGCACAUCAGUUAGAGCUUUAUGUGCUGAAAAGUGGAAGGCCAGCACUUUGCAGAUGUGAAUGGUUGAGAAAAUUCCAACUAGACUGGCUAACAAUCAAAGCUCUCAAUGUGUCAUCAACAGGCAACUGCAGCCCAAAUGGUAGCACUAAGCAGAGACUGUCACAGCUGUUUGAUGCUAAUGAGAAGGGUAUUGGUAAACUCAAUGCAUGAAGUCCAGAAUUGUACUGGAUGAAGCAGCAGCACCAAGAUUCCAUAAGUUGUAUGCACCAAGUUCUAAAGUGGAUGCUGAACUGCAGAGCCUGGAGGUGUCUGGCAUUCUUCAAAGGUUGAGUGGAGUGAUUGGGUCACGCCCAUUGUCUCAGUGAAGAAGGGAAAGACUGGAGCCGUUCACAUUUGUGGGGAUUUCAAAUUCAGCAUCAACCUAGUGCUGCAUACUGUGCAGUAUCCCCUACCACAAAUAGAAGACAUUUUUGCAUCUUUGGUAGAAGGUGAGAGGUUUUCAAAGAUUGACUUGUUACAAGCCUAUCUACAAAUUGAGAAUGAGGAGUCGAACAGAAAGUUCCUCACAAUCAACUCUCACAAGGGACUGUUCCAGUAUAAUCGUUUCAUCUUUGGCGUCACAUCAGCUCCAGCAAUUUGGCAAAGAGCAAUGGACCAAAUGCUCCAAGAUAUCCCAGGAGCACAAUGUUACCUUGAUGACAUCAUCAUGACUGGCAAGAAUGAUGAAGAGCACCUCCAGAACCCUGGUAAAGUGCUUACCAGGCUGAGUGAGUACAGUCUGCUCGCAAAGAGAGAGAAAUGUGAGUUUUUCAACAAUAAUAUCUAAUAUUGUGAACAUGUCAUUGGCAAGCUUGGCUAACAUAAGUCACAAGAGAUGACUGAAGCAGUGCUACAGGCAUCCAAACCGGAAAAUGUUUCACAUCUCAAGUCAUACUUGGGCCUUGUAAGCUACUACCACCGGUUUCUCCCAAACAUUGUUACAGUGCUGCACCCAGUGAACGAUUUGUCAUGGACAGGAGCAAAGUGGGAAUGGUCAGAAAGAUGUGAAAGAGUAUUCAAGAAAACAAAGAGGCUAAUAACAUCAGAUGAACUGCUAACACAUUAUGACCCAUCUGGUGUGCUAUGUGUCCCCUUAUGACAUUGUGUCAAUUGUCACACACCAUGAAAGAUGGAUCUGAACAUCUGAUUGCAUUUGCUUCAAGAUCACUGGCGAGUGCAGAUCUACCCACAGAUUGAUCAAGCAGCCCCUAGUCUAGUAUGGGGAAUAAAGAAGUUCCACCACUACUUCUAUGGACAAAGGUUUAUGCAAGUGACAGACCGCCAGCCCCUUGUGUCCAUUUUCAAUCCCAGGAAGGGAAUUGCAGUGAUGACUGCUACCUGGUUACAACACUGUCCCUAGGAGCCCACUCUUAUGACACAGAGCUCAAAGGCACCAAACAACACAGUAAAGCUGACAGCUUGUCACAUCUUCCACUGUUGACUACCAAAGAAGGGAGGUCUUCAUACUUGGACCCAGCAGAAGUUUUCCACACCACAUGGUGGACCAGUUGCCAGUAACAAAUUCCAAUGCACAAAAAGAAACAAGGAAUGACCCGACAUUGUCAAAAGUCCAUGACAUCACCAUGCAAGGGUAGCCAGCACAUGGUAAUCCUAUGUGUCCAGACUUCUCAGUGAGGCAAGACCAUCUAUCUGUAUGUCAAAGAAUGCUGAUGUGUGGAUCUCAUAUUAUGGUUCCCUCUAAACUGCACACCAGAGUCUUAGAUAAUCUGCAUGUAGGGCAUCUGGGUACAAUCAAGAUAAUCUCACCCAGAGUGAUGUGUGGUGGCCAACGAUAGAUAGAUAAAUUGAAGACUUGACCAAAAGCAGUUUGAGAUGCUGCAAAGUUCAAACUGCACCUCCACAGGCACACCUUUACACCCGUGGGAGUGGCCGUCUUCACCAUAGCAAAGAGUACAUAGUGACUUUGCUCAGCCAUUCAUGAACUCCACGUAUCUGAUUGCUGUGAUUGCUUAUUUGAGGUGGCCAGAGGUUAUACCAAUGAAGACAACCACAUCACAAAAAACUGUUUCCACUCGGAGGAUUAUUUUUUCUAGAAAUAGCUUACCAGAACAAACUGUGAGUGACAAUGGAUGCAAUACACAUCAGAAGAAUUCAGACUAUUCAUGAAGAAAAAUGGCAUCCAACAUUUCAAGUCAGCUCCUCACCACCCAGCGAUGAAUGGGUUAUCUGAAAGAUUUAUCCAAACCUUCAAGAAAUUCAUUAAAGCAAUGGACAAGGAGGAUAUUUCUCUACAGCACAAGGUGGACAAUUUCUUUUUUGUGUAUUGGAACUCUGUUCACACGAUGGCAAACCAAACACCUUCAUCACUCUUCAUUCAAUGGUCUUCCUCAGAGCAGGACUCGGAGAUCUUGCAUAAACUUCCUGAAACCAGAUCUACAGAGGGAAGUGCAGAAUAAACAGUUCAGCCAAGAAAAUCAGCAAGGAGCAUUGAGGUUGGACACAAAGUCCUAGUACAUGAUUACCGAGAAGACAAGUGGACACCCAGUAGGAUAGCUAUCACUGAUGUACACAGUGGAUGUUGGAGAUCAGACAUGGAGACAUCAUGUGAACCAGAUACUGGAUGCUCAGCUGAAGAACACACUUGGGUCAAUUGCAUCCAACAAGAUGGAUGUAGUACAUCCACUGGACUUACAUCUCAGUUAUGAUCAUGUCACCAACAGCAACGUGGCACCUGACAAGACACCUGCCGAACCUAAUACCACUCCACAUGUCCCAAGGCGCUCUUCUGAAAGAAACAGAGCACCACCCAAAAGACUGAACCUUUAGUAUAGUGAAGUUAAUUAUGGACCGUUAUUUAAAAAGUGAAAAAUCAAGCAACACUGUUACUGUGAAAGCAUGUUUUUUGACAUGGUCUGUUAAAGGGAAAUUGAAUGCUUUGUUACGUAUACAGUUUUCAGACUAUCAAGAAGGCAAAUGGAAUGUUGGCUUACGCUGCCAGAGGGAUUGAAUUUGAAAGCAGGGAGGUUAUGCUGCAAAUGUAUGCUUUUCACAGAGUGUGGUCAAUCCGCCGUAGAAUUCUCUGCCCAAUGAAGCAGUGGAGGCUACAUCAGUAAAUAUAUUUAAGACAAGGUUGGAUAGAUUUUUGAAUAGUAGGGCAAUUAAAAGUUAUGGGGAAAAGGCAGGUAGAUGGUGAUGAGUCCAUGGUCAGAUCAGCCAUGACCUUCUUGAAUGGCAGAGCAGAUUCGACAGGCCAGAUGCCCAACUCAUGCUCCUAUUUCUUAUAUUCUUAUGUUACAUUAAUCUGAAGGAGGAGGAAGUGUAAUGCACAGAUCUAUUUCUUUUGGUGCAAUUAUUAGCGUUAAUUAUUGGCUGAUAACUUAUGCACGUGCUUUGUUUUGGUGCUCUCGCUGCAAAGUGAAUGUGCAUGUUAAUUCCUUCUCCAAGUGUGUGCCUUUAUUUACUUGAUAUGUUGUUGUAGAGACACAACAGCCGCCACUCGCCUCGCCUCCACGCGGCUCUCCAUUGUUUGCAGGGAUCAUUAUUAAUAAAGGACGUAGUAGCUUCCUUCGCUUUGUUUGCCAUCGAUAAUAGCUGCUGAGCUUCACCAGUGCCGCCUUAAUCUGGUUCAUCUCUGAGAAAAUGAUCUUGUGGCUACAACAGUGACUGUGGGUGGGUUCAGGUGCAUUGGAAGCUAUCAAGGUGGGUGGGUGGGUGGGUACUUUCCAAACCCCGCCUGUUCAAAACGUUAAGCUCAUCAGGAAGGAUGUGCUGUUGCCAGUGAUGUUGUCAGACUUUGGUUUGAGGCCCAUUAUAUCAUGUAAGCCCCGCACAACUGAUGACUGGCCUGGGACUGGCAUUCCUGACAGUUUUAUAAAUGUCAUAUCUCGAUUUCUUGUGAAGGUCAUAAUAACCUGAUUUGAAUGCUGCUGUCCUAUACUGCACUCAGGAGUGGAUCUGCCGGUUCAUUCAUAGCUUCUGAUUUGGGGAACACCUGAAUUGUCUUCUUUGUUUUACAAUACUCAACAUGUAGGACUAUUUCAAACGGGUAUUUAAUGGGCAGCAAGAACUCAGUCAGCCAAACAGUCUGCAGGACAAUGAUUCUGUAUUUCCUGCUCAUCCCAUAUUGUCUGGGGUGUUUUUUUCAGCCAUACAGCUUUGAUUUUAUGCUGAAAUCCUUUGGGUGGUGGGUCUACCUUCAGAUUCUCUCCUGAAUUUCAUCAUGCUGUGCUCAGAUCAAAUUCAACAAUCCAUUGUAUUCACUGAAAUAACAGUUAUGCCUCCUCAGGAUCACCUCUUUAUUGUCCAUUUGAGUGGAAUUACUCUUCGUGAUUGUGGAGAAGAGUGACCAGAACAGAGGCAAUGGCAUCAGUUGUGCCACAAGAGGGCACCAUAAGCCUAUUGUACUGGGCUUCAGUACAAAAACAAUCAGAUCAUCUGUUACUACGUUGCAGUAAGUCUGCUGUGUGCUUUCACUUCACAAGUAAAUAUUGUUGCUAACGUUUACUUUUAGAUUCAUCCUUUGCAAAUCCUUGCUCCUCUCCAGGUGGUGAGUCUUACACUUGUAGUAAGAAGGUUAUUGGAAACAAUUCUAAGAGACAGGAUUAAUGUUCACUUGGAAAGCAGGGACAGAUUAGGGGAGUCAGCACAGUUUUGUGCAGGGAAAAUUCUGUCUCAGAAAACCUGAAUCAGUUUUUUGUGACGGUAAUUAAGAAAAUUGUUGAAGACAGGGUGGAACACGGACUAUAGAACAAAGGCUUACACAGGUGCAGAAGGCUAAAGCACAUGAGACCUGACCUCUGUGGCUCGGUGGCAGGAGACAGAGGGUGCUUGCUAUUUUUCACCUGAAAAUCUGUAACUAGUGCUUUACCACUGAGAUUGGUACUGGGACCUUCAUUGUUUAUCAAAUUUUUAUAAAUGACUUGGAUGAGAAAGUGACUAAUCUGGUCGACUGUGGAGAUACACAGCACCAAAACACACCUUCAGUCCUAACUGAUCCAUAUCAACUGAAGCUAGUCACCAUAUCAGUCUAAGUUAGUCCCUGUGCCAACAUUUGGCACACAACUUUCUAAACCUUUCCAUUUUCUGUACCUGUCCAAGUGUCUAUUAAAAUAUUUAUUCUACCUGCAUCAACCAAUUUCUGUGGCAGCUCAUUCCACAGAUAUACCACUCUUUGUGUAUAAAGUCACCCCUCAAGAUCCUAUUAAAUCUUUCUCCUCUCAUCUUAAACCUAUGCCCUCUAGUUACUGAUUUCCCGGCUCUUAAGAAAGACUGACUGCAAUCACCACUUUUUUGACUUUAGUAUCAUCUACUAGAUCACUUCUCAUUUCCUGCAGUCUAAUGAGUAAAGUCCUGGCCUGUCCAAACUUUCCCUCUAACUCAGUCCUCAAGUUCCUGUAAAUCUUUUCUGCAUAGCUUCCUGUUCAAUAACAUUUUUGCUGUUAACAGGUUUACCAAAACUGACCAAAAUUCUCUAAGUGUGGUCUCACCAGCUUGCUAUACAACUGCACCACAGCCUUCCAGCGUUUAUACUCAUUACAACACACACAAAAUGCUGGAAAAAUGUGUGCGCUGGCGAAGGGUUUUGGCCCAAACCGUGGACUGUACUUUUUUCCCAUAGAUGCUGCCUGGCCUGCUGAGUUCCUCCAGCAUUUUGUGUGUGUUGCUUGGAUUUCCAGCGUCUGCAGAUUUUCUCUUGUUUGUGAUUUUUUACUCAUUGCCCUGACUUAGGAAUGUAAGCAUGCUAAAAGCCUUCUUCACCAUCCUGUCUACUUGUGACUCCACUUUCAGUGAACUAUGCACUUAUAUCCCAAAGUCCCUCUGCUCUAUCCCCCCAGGGCCCUGUCUGAGGCAUUAAGUACAAAAGAUGAAGCACCACGUGGCAGCUGUACAAAAUAUCUUUCAAACUGCAUGUGGAUGUAGUACUGGUCACCACAGCACAGGAAGGAUGUGGUAGCAUUAGAAGAAAUUCAGCAGAUGUUGCCAAAGGGCACAUCUACUAAUACUAACUUGAAGGAGAUCUGGGGUCCCAAUAAGGAUUCCUGCAAAACACCAUGGGAUACUGAUCAGCAGCCAGAAUGUCACAUCGACCACCACCCUCUGCCUCCUAUGCUCCACACAGACUCAUGCAGCCUGUUCCUAAUUGGGGCAAUUCCUAUUGCUCGUAAGUUGAUUAUUCAGUUUUGGGUAGUAGGAGCAAUUACUUGGAUGGAGAAACAGGAGCUAUAGAAAGUGGUACCUGUUGAGACUUUCUGUUCAGUAUCAGCUAGCAGGAGCCUAAAGGAGGCAUGGUUGUAAAUUGUUAGUUUAAAUUGACUGUAUAGUUAGGCAGCUGGCAAAGGCCAAUAAAAAGAAGUAUAGUAUAAGCAGAGUGGCCAGAGUGGGAGCGGACAGGGUUAAAGUUGGAAAGUUGAGGCUUUGGCAAGAAGACACAAGAGCUAAGAGAGUGUCUGGCUAGCGACACUUUUUUCUUUAUUAUAGUAUAGGUAAAGCAGCGGGAAUGGAAACCUGUGCAGUGAUGUGUUCCACUUGCACAAUGUAGGAAGUCAGGGCGAUCUCCCGUGUCCUUACGGAUCACUUUAGGAGCUGGAGCUUGAUGACUUAUGGAUCAUUAGAGAGAAGAUUUACAAGGAGGCCGUUGCUCCUAAGUUUCAGGACUUGUAACUGUGUGACCUUCGAGAGAGAAGUUUGGCCAUUCCCCUCAAUAACAAUCAUAUCAUUUGGGGUCCUCUUGGGGGGUGACAACUCAGCAGAGGGGUGCCACAGCAGUCAGGUCCCUGGCACUGAGGCUAAUUCUAUGGUCCAGAAGGAAGGUCGGGAGAAGAGACAAGCAGUAGUGAUAGGGGACUCACUGGUUAUGCAGACAGAUGGGAAAUUCUGUGGAUGCCACUAAGACUCCCAGAUGGUAUGUUGCCUCCCAGGUGCCAGGGUCAGAGAAACCUCUGAUGGGGUCCAUAACAUUCUUAAGGAGGAAGGCCAGCAGGCAGGUUGUGAUCCACAUUGGAACCAAUGACAUUGGCAGGAAGUGUGAAGAGAUCUGGCAAAGUGAAUUCAUGGGUUUAGGUGCUGAGUUAAAGGAUGGGACCUCCAGGGUGGCGAUCUCAGGAUUGUUACCCAUGCCACGUGCUAGUGAGGCUUAAAAAAAAGAAGAUAAUGCAGUUUAACAUGUGGCUAAGGGAAUGGUGCAGGCACUGAGGGAGUGGGGGGAGUUCUUCAGAUUUUUGGAGCAUUGGGCUUUCUUCCAUGGAAGAUGAGAGCUGUACAAGUAGAACUGUUUGCACCUGAACUGGAAGGGACCGAUAACCUUGUGCAAAAGAUUGCCAGUGCUGCUCAGCAGGUUUUCAACGAGGGUGGCAGGGGUAGAAACCUAAGUAGCAGGUCAGCAAGUCGAGUGGCUGUGGGAAAGUAAAUAUUAAUCCACUUGCAAGGAAAGAAACUGAAUGGCUAAGCACGGUGGGGCUAAUGUUCUGAAUUGUGUGUAUUUCAAUGCAAGGAACAUUGUAGACAAGGAAAUAUAAUGUUGUAGACAUUAGUGAGACUCGGUUGCAGGAAGGGCAGGACAAGCAGAGCAAUGUUCCAGGCUCUGUUGUUUCAGACAUGAUAGCGGGGAGAUAUUAAAGGGGGAAGGGUUGUAUUCGACAUCAGAGAAAAUGUCAUGCAAUGCUCAGAGAGGCUGUACUGGAUGGCUCUUCUCCUGAGGAAAUAUGGUGGAACUGUGGAAUAAGGAAGGGAUGACCAGUUUAAUCGGGUUACUUUAUAGACCUCCCAAUAGUCAGCGGGAUUUAGAGGAGCAAAUUUGUAGGGAGAUAGCAGAUAGUUGCAAGCGAAAUAAAAUUAUAAUUGUAGACAACUUCAACUUUCUGCAUUUUGACUGGGGCUCCCACACUAUAAAAGAACCGUGUGGGAAAGAGUUUGUCAAAUCUGUUCAGAAGAAUUGCCCUUAAUCCAUAUAUAGAGGUCUCAACUCGAGCGAAUGUGACACUUGGUCUCCUAUUAGGGAACGAUACAGGGCAGCUGACAGGGAAACACUUUGGAACUAGUGAUCUUAAUUUCACUAGUUUCAAGGUAACUAUGGAGAAGAGUAGGUGUGCUCCUCAGGUUCAAAUUUUAAAUUGGAGAAAGGGCAAUUUCUAUGGCAUCAGAAGGGAUCUGGCCGAUGUGGAUUCGGAUAAGUUGCUUUCUAGCAGAGGCAUUCCUUGUAAGUGUGAGGCAUUCAAAAGUGAAAUAUUGAGAGUACAGAACUUGGAUGUUCCAAUUAGAAUAACAGGUUUAGGGAACCUUGUUUUUUGAGGAAUAUUGAGACCUUGGUCAAGAAGAAGGAGAAGGUGCAUAUCGGGUACAGGUAGUUGGAAUCAAAUGUGGUGUUUGGGGUGUAUAAGAGAUGCAAGGAGACACCUAGAAAAAAGAAGAAAUCAGGAGGACUAAAACAGCACAAGAAGUUUCUCUGGCGACAAGUUGAAAGUGAAGGUAAGGACGUCUGUAGAUCCGCAAAGGACAAAAGGAUAGCUGGGACAGAAUUGGUCCUUUUGAACAUCAGCGCGAUCAUCUAUGCAUGGAGCUUAGAAAGGGGGGGAGAUUUGAAUUUUGCAUCUGUAUUUACUUGGAAGAAGGGUGCAGCACCUAUAGAACUGUAGCAAAAAAUCAGUGAGGUCAUGGAUCAUAUGCAGAUUACAGAAGAGGAGGUGCUUGCUGUCAUGAGGCAAAUUAGGAUGGAUCAGUCCCCAAGGUGUCCCCUCAGACCUUGCAUAAGGAGGCUAGUGCAAACAUUGCAGGGGCCUGGUAGAGGUAUUUAAACACCCUUAGCUAUGGGCAAGGUGCCAGAGCACUGGAGAAUAACAAAUGUUACUUUGUUACGCAAGAAAGACACUAAGAAUAUGCCAGAGAGUCACAGGCUGUUGGUCCUGGUGUCACUUGUGUGUAAAUUAUUGGAAGGUAUUCUAAGGGAGAAUAUUUGUAAGUAUUUAGAUCAAUAUUUAGAUUAGGGAUAGUCAACAUAUCUUUGUGAAUGGUAGGUCGGGUCUAACCAACGUUAGCAAUUUUUGAGAAGGUUAUGAGGCAGGUUAAUGAAGGAAAGCAAUGGAUGCUGUCCACAUAGGCUUUAGCAAGGCCUUUGACUGCACGAGAAGCUGGAUGAGAAGGUUAAAUCACGUGGCAUUCAGGAUAAAAUUGUAAAUUGGAUUCAGCAUUAACUUAUUGGGAGAAGUUCGAAAGCAGUAAUAGAUGGUUAUCUUUCUGUCUGGAAGGUUGUGGUGUACUGCAGAGACUGGGUCUGUUGUUUUUUAUCAUCUACAUUCUAAAUCAGAUUCAGGUUUAAUAUCAUUAGUAUAUAUUGUAAAAUUUGCUAUUCUGCAGCAGCAGUACAUUGUAAUACACAAUAAUAAAAACUACAAAUUACAAAAAGUAUAUAUAAAAAAUCAAAUUAAAUAAGUAAUACAAAAAGAGAGUGUAAAAAUUCAGAGGUAAUGUUCAUGGGUUCUUUGUCCAUUCAGAAUGCUGAUGGCAGAGGGGAAGAAGCUGUUCCUGAAACAUUCAGUGUGUGUCUUCAGCCCGAAACAUCGUCUGUUUACUCUUUCCAUUGAUGCUACAUAGCCUGCUGAGUUCCUCCACUAUUUUUCUGCGGUGCUGAACAAAGUGAUCUCCCAAUCUCUGACAGAUCUCACUGGAGUGAAGAUCACACUAGGAGCACUGGAUACAAUAGAUGACCCCAAAAGACUCAGAGGUCGUGUCUCCUUACCUGGAAGGACUGGAGCCCUGAAUGGUGAUCUACAGAGAGCAUGCGCCAUUAGGCUCAAGGACUGCAGUCCCACGGUCUUCAGAGUUUUGAACAGAAUCUUCAUACACUAAAAGAUAAACUCUUGAUCUCCACCUGCCUCAGUGUGGCUCUUGUGCUUCUUUUCUUCGCCUGCUCUGUGCUUCUUAAAAUGCAACGCCAUAUUCUACAUUCUGUUUUAAUUUUCUGCUAUCUUGCUAUACAUAUGUAAGGCACAAUCUAUCAGCAUGGCAUACAAAUGAAAGCUUUUCACUAUAUCCUGGUGCAUGGAACAACAAUAAGCCAAUACUUAUACCAGGUCUCGACAAGUUGUGUGCAGAGAGGUUUCUUCUAGCUGAGGAGUCUGGAACAGGGGUCACAAUCUAGAGUAAGGCUCUUUGGGACUAAGAUGAGGACAAAUGUCUUCUUGCAGAGUGUGGUGAAUAUUUGGACGUGAGGGUCAUGCAGUUAAUGGUUCCUAGAUGGAAGGUCUUGAUGAAUGAUGAGGAAGUCUUGUUGUGUUAAAUUGUCAUUACUCCUAAAGCCAUUAGACUCUUCUCUUGAACUAAAGAGGAUAACUACACUCAUCUAUCGAGUUCCCACAACAAAUUAUCUUGCUUGAAGGACUCUUUAUCUUGUUACUUAUUGCUAUUUAUUUAUAUUUACAUAUGCACAUUCUAUGCUCUUGCUCUUUCAUUGAUCCAAUUUCCAGUUACUGUUCUAUAGAUUUGCUGAAUAUUUCUACAGGACACAGAAUCUUAGUGUUUUAUGUGGUGACAUUUAUGUACUCAGAGAAUAAAUUUCGCUUUAAAC
RNA transcript from Hypanus sabinus (Atlantic stingray), 15367 nucleotides. RefSeq lists it as uncharacterized. The transcript is spliced from 6 exons. The record is from RefSeq and is a predicted model, not a curated record. NCBI's taxonomy places the organism in Eukaryota, Metazoa, Chordata, Chondrichthyes, Myliobatiformes, Dasyatidae.